This 497-nucleotide ribosomal RNA is filed under the name uncultured bacterium. RNAcentral describes it as "partial 16S ribosomal RNA". It matches the Rfam family "Bacterial small subunit ribosomal RNA", at positions 28 to 507 of the family's 1533-position model. The record is from RNAcentral.
GACGAACGCUGGCGGCGUGCCUAAUACAUGCAAGUUGAGCGCUGAAGGUUGGUACUUGUACCGACUGGAUGAGCAGCGAACGGGUGAGUAACGCGUGGGGAAUCUGCCUUUGAGCGGGGGACAACAUUUGGAAACGAAUGCUAAUACCGCAUAAAAACUUUAAACACAAGUUUUAAGUUUGAAAGAUGCAAUUGCAUCACUCAAAGAUGAUCCCGCGUUGUAUUAGCUAGUUGGUGAGGUAAAGGCUCACCAAGGCGAUGAUACAUGGCCGACCUGAGAGGGUGAUCGGCCACAUUUGGACUGAGACACGGCCCAAACUCCUACGGGAGGCAGCAGUAGGGAAUCUUCGGCAAUGGACGAAAGUCUGACCGAGCAACGCCGCGUGAGUGAAGAAGGUUUUCGGAUCGUAAAACUCUGUUGGUAGAGAAGAACGUUGGUGAGAGUGGAAAGCUCAUCAAGUGACGGUAACUACCCAGAAAGGGACGGCUAACUACGUG